AUGACAGUGAAUAUACACUUGACAUCAGUCACCAAUGACAACCUAAUUCUACGUGGCAUACUGGCCUGGAUCAAUGAGUCUCCUGAAGUUGAAUUUGACAAAGAUGGAACAAUUGUGCUCAGGGGCUGCUUAUUGUUGCUUUAUGGUCAUCCUCUUCCCUGGCUCCAUUGCCUUGAAGAAGGUGAAAUUCCAUGAAUACAUUCAUAACUUCAAAAUACUACAAGCAGUAUUUUUAAGAGGGUGGGUGAUGACAAAGUAAUUUCUGUGGACAAUUAGGAAAAGGAAACUUUCAGGACAAUUUUGAAUUCAUUCAGUACUUUAAGAAGUUUUUUGAUGCAAACUGCAAUGAAAAAGACUAUAACCCUGUGGCUGCCGGACAAGGUCAAGAAACUGAAGUGGCUCCCUCUAUUGUUGCUCCAGUUCUGAAUAAACCGAAGUAACCUCUCAGCUCUAGCAAUCCAGCUCCACAUAGGACCAUUUCCACAAAUAACUGCAGCUUCUAAGGCUGCAGCUUCUAAGGCCCCAGGGUGGUAUUAAAAAAUCCUGGUGUGGGCAGUAGGAGUGCUGCAGGGUCAAAUUGAUGCUAGCAGGUCAGUGUAUUGAAACUUGGCAUUGAAGCCUUGGAGAAAGAGAUUUCUACUUCAGAAAGCUAAGGAACAAUGAAUUGAUUUGCCAGCAGAACGAGGGGCAAAAUGACCCUGUAUUGCAGAGGACUGUAGACAUGCUCUGUGCCACAGAUGAAGACUUCGUGAUAUCCGAUGAAAGGGGCCCACAGGAGGAACAAGAAGAGUUUUAA
This 796-nucleotide long non-coding RNA is filed under the name Homo sapiens (human). Its description in RNAcentral is "non-protein coding lnc-CSRNP3-8:1". The record is from RNAcentral. Lineage: Eukaryota; Metazoa; Chordata; Mammalia; Primates; Hominidae.